Molecule: long non-coding RNA, 1328 nt
Organism: Pseudopipra pipra
Lineage: Eukaryota; Metazoa; Chordata; Aves; Passeriformes; Pipridae
Exons: 2
Source: RefSeq, a predicted model, not a curated record
GUAGAAAGGUGGGUUAAUGUGACUGAAAACGGGCAGUACUGCAGAUGCAGCCAAGGUGAGCAAUGCACACGCCUCCUACUUGCACAGUAAAUCAUAGGUAACUCUUUGGUGGCAUGCAGGAUGCCAUUUCCUUCACACAUCUGAGCAGCUGAGUGACUCCAGUUUCAGAACAGCUCAGUGAAGUAAAAAGGCUUAGAAGUAUCUGAGUAAAGUGCAGAAAGCAGAGGGACAACAGGUGGCAAGAAGAGUCAGAGAAGGACAGAGAGGUGCAUGGAAGGGAAAUUACAGUUGCUAGCUUGACAUUAGUAUUAGGAUGUAAAUGAAUCAGGAAAAGAAGUCAGCUGGCAGGUUCCUUAGCUGACCCUCAUCUGUCACACUGGAGAGUUGUCAGAGCAUAACUGAGGUGGGGCUCUCAGACACCAUAAGUGGAAAGUACAACUAAACUAUAUUUUGCCUGGACUUUGUGAAAAUAUUUCCUAUGCAUCUUAAGAUGGAAAGACUGUUUCACUCAUCACUGCUUCCUCAGACAUGCAUCUAUGUUUCCAGCUCCCUGAUGCUCCCUCAGGGAUUUCUCCAGCUCUCCUGUAUCCCUCUGAAGCAGACUGACCUCUAGAGGCCUCUGGGCAGAGCUGGCACACAAUGAGCUGUGUGCCCUGCCCUGCACAUUUGCAAACCUUAGACUUUGCCUGUUAGUGCUCCCAUCUGAGGUCUUUCUAUAUAUGUUGAAUCAUAUAUGCCCAGCAAUAUGGUCUUGUCUUCCAGAGGGAUACCCAGGAUCCCUGAAGGAACUUGUCUGUCCUUCCGUGUCGGGUGACAAGGCCCAGGCUGAGGGUAAAGCUGAUGGGGCCGAGGCCGUCAGAGCAGCAGCGCCAGGGCUGAGGCGACAGGCACAGCCACUGUCCCAACUGAUGUCUUUGGGCCCUACACCACCACCCACCUGUGAAGGACCAGGAAUUAGAAUGGGGAAAAUCUCAGAAGUGGAAAAAGAUGUACAGUGAUUGAAAGGACUUUAUGAUGCAGACUUUAUAGUUAUUAUGUAUACACACAUUAUAUGUUCCCCCAGAAUUUGUAUCUUCCGGGCCUGUUCACCUCCCUGCUCCUCUGUUUCUCUGCCAAUUGGCUGGAGAAGCUGCAGCGAGGGCACAGCCUCCAUUCGCCCCUUCUCUCCCCAGUUCCUCCCACGCUCCUCCUCUUUUGCUCGUGUCCCUAUCCUGGUUUGUCCCCCCGCUUGUCCAUCUCAUGCUCCGCCCUAUGUUCUGACCCUUUCCCCUCCCGAGCUGAUAAAAGACCGGGUGCACGUGUGAAUAAAGUAUUCUACCUGCAUCCCA